UCCCAGUUGACGUAGUGGUAAAGAAUUUGCCUGCCAAUGCAAGAGACACAGGUUCAAUUCCUGGGUUGGGAA
Molecule: transfer RNA, 72 nt
Filed under: Ovis aries (sheep)
Lineage: Eukaryota; Metazoa; Chordata; Mammalia; Artiodactyla; Bovidae
Rfam family: tRNA
About the family: Transfer RNA (tRNA) molecules are approximately 80 nucleotides in length.
Source: Rfam by way of RNAcentral